UGUGGAGACACCUGUCAAGGACGGCCUCCUCUACCAGCAGCACAUGAAGUUUGGCAAGGUGGGAAGCCCAGGCUGCCAGCCACGGGCAGAGGAGGGAAGCCCCUGCUUAGCUAACCACACAGCUGACCUGAGAUAACUGGGAAGGGGGUAUGGGUGAAGUGAAAGCUGGAGACAGGAGGUUCUUGGCCCAAGAAGGUUAGGGAUGAAGCCUCCUCCCUAAGCCAGCCUCAUACCGUGUUAGAGAUGCCAGGACCAUGGAAGCGUUGUAGGAAUCAAAACCUGUGUGUCCAAGGGUUCCAAGGCUCCUGGAGAAGGCCCAGGCCUGUGUGUCAGAAGCCCUCUGAGGACGGAGCAGACAGGCUGGUUCUCCUGGAGAGGAGAUGGGCUGGGAAUCUAUCUUUUUUUCUCCUUGAGCAUCAGACUGUACACCCACAGUUCAACUACAGCUGCUCCUGGGCAGAUAAACCGUCUGCUGCCUCUGCGAUGUCAUUUGCAUGUUUCCUUCCUUACCAGCAUGAAGCAGAGGCCGCCUUCCCACCCCACCCAGCCCAUGGCCCAAGUGCCCUUUCUGGUUGUGUAACAGCAGUGUCAGUUGGUCUGCCCCAGCCAUUAGAUACUAUUAACUGUGAAGGUCAUCCAGAACAGGGCAAGGUGUGACCAGGGCUCAGGGCUGACCAGCCCCAAGUGUAGAUCUCUUCCUGCCUACCCCUGCCCCAGCAAGGCCUCCUCCUUCCUCA
RNAcentral lists this long non-coding RNA (737 nucleotides) under Rattus norvegicus (Norway rat). RNAcentral describes it as "long non-coding RNA NONRATT012267". The record is from RNAcentral. Lineage: Eukaryota; Metazoa; Chordata; Mammalia; Rodentia; Muridae.